This 253-nucleotide ribosomal RNA is filed under the name uncultured bacterium. RNAcentral describes it as "partial 16S ribosomal RNA". It matches the Rfam family "Bacterial small subunit ribosomal RNA", at positions 524 to 776 of the family's 1533-position model. The record is from RNAcentral.
GACGAACCGUGCGAACGUUGUUCGGAAUCACUGGGCUUAAAGGGCGCGUAGGCGGGCGGUCAAGUCAGAGGUGAAAUCCCCCGGCUCAACCGGGGAAGUGCUUUUGAUACUGGUGGUCUCGAGUGGGGUAGGGGCGUGCGGAACUUCCGGUGGAGCGGUGAAAUGCGUAGAGAUCGGGAAGAACGCCGGCGGCGAAAGCGACUCUCUGGUCGGAAUCUGACGCUGAGGUGCGAAAGCUAGGGGAGCAAACGGG